GACCCUUUCGACUUAGUAGUAGAGUAACGCCAUGGUAAGGCAUAAAUCAUCGGUUCAAGUCCGGUAAGGGGCU
This is a non-coding RNA of Picea glauca (white spruce), 73 nucleotides long. The record is from Rfam. Lineage: Eukaryota; Viridiplantae; Streptophyta; Pinopsida; Pinales; Pinaceae.